UACAGAGGGGGCAAGCGUUGUUCGGAAUUACUGGGCGUAAAGGGCGCGUAGGCGGCCUUCUAAGUCGAGCGUGAAAUCCCCAGGCUUAACCUGGGAACUGCAUCCGAUACUGGAUGGCUUGAAUUCGGGAGAGGGAUGCAGAAUUCCAGGUGUAGCGGUGAAAUGCGUAGAUAUCUGGAGGAAUACCGGUGGCGAAGGCGGCAUCCUGGACCGAGAUUGACGCUGAUGAGCGAAAGCUAGGGGAGCAAACAGG
This 253-nucleotide ribosomal RNA is filed under the name uncultured bacterium. RNAcentral's name for it is "partial 16S ribosomal RNA". It matches the Rfam family "Bacterial small subunit ribosomal RNA", at positions 524 to 776 of the family's 1533-position model. The record is from RNAcentral.